AUUGAACGCUGGCGGCAUGCCUUACACAUGCAAGUCGAACGGUAACAGGUCUUCGGAUGCUGACGAGUGGCGAACGGGUGAGUAAUACAUCGGAACGUGCCCGAUCGUGGGGGAUAACGAGGCGAAAGCUUUGCUAAUACCGCAUACGAUCUACGGAUGAAAGCGGGGGAUCUUCGGACCUCGCGCGGACGGAGCGGCCGAUGGCAGAUUAGGUAGUUGGUGGGAUAAAAGCUUACCAAGCCGACGAUCUGUAGCUGGUCUGACAGGAUGAUCAGCCACACUGGGACUGAGACACGGCCCAGACUCCUACGGGAGGCAGCAGUGGGGAAUUUUGGACAAUGGGCGAAAGCCUGAUCCAGCCAUGCCGCGUGCAGGAUGAAGGCCUUCGGGUUGUAAACUGCUUUUGUACGGAACGAAAAGCCUCUUUCUAAUAAAGAGGGGUCAUGACGGUACCGUAAGAAUAAGCACCGGCUAACUACGUG
RNAcentral lists this ribosomal RNA (482 nucleotides) under uncultured bacterium. RNAcentral's name for it is "partial 16S ribosomal RNA". It matches the Rfam family "Bacterial small subunit ribosomal RNA", at positions 30 to 507 of the family's 1533-position model. The record is from RNAcentral.